This 731-nucleotide long non-coding RNA is filed under the name Pongo abelii (Sumatran orangutan). RNAcentral describes it as "lincRNA". Lineage: Eukaryota; Metazoa; Chordata; Mammalia; Primates; Hominidae. The record is from RNAcentral.
GCCGCCGCAGCGAAGAGGCCAUGUUGUGUGGUGUGUGGGGCGGGGGGAGGAGGAGGAGGGAGUAAAGCCUAGAGAGGAGACGGGAGAGACACCACACACACGGCACAAGAUGGCCGGAGAGGCAGCAGCACCCCGAGCUGUCAGGCGUUCCGCCGCGGCCGCGAGGCCCGCCGGCCGGCUAGGAGCUACGCCCGGACGGCCAGCAGGCUCGCGGGAGUGGGGCGGCCGCGGCUGAGGCGAGGCGGGCCGCGCGCGUCGGCGUCAGAGCCCGCGGCAGAGGCGCCCAGGGCGGCCGGGCCCACGACGCCGAAAGCGCCGCUGCGGUUGCCGCCUCGGAGGCUCCCCCGGGCCCCGGCGGCUGGACCCGGCGCGGGCGGGAGCCUCGGGCGGGCGGUCUGGCCCGGGACUCGGGUUUGGGCGACCAGGAGGCGCCGGUGGCCGCGCUCGGACCCGGUUCUCCAACGGAGGAGCUUUUUAACCUCUUUCCGGUGAGGUGGGAACUCAUCUUCAUGAUCGAAUUUAAAAGAACAAUGGAACCCUGACUACGUUUCAACAAAAAUAAAACUUGUUUUUUUCCCUCCUAUUGGGUGUUGGCUUUUAACUCUUUCAAAGCCGAUUCUGAAACGGCUGCAGUGAUAACAUGCGAAGGUACUUGCUGCUUAUUAAACCUUUAUGACGUUAAGGUUGUCUUUGAAAAAUGCAAGUUGGAGGAGUGCUUCUGGUAUUUCAGA